UUCCGUUGUACUUGAUUGUAAAUUCCGUAAAUUCAGAAUCAUUUUCAAUGCAUAGCUUAAUUUAUUCCAGUAGUGUUACUAAGAUCUGCGCAUUCGUAAUAAUCAGUAUGUGGAUGUCCUGGAUGACAAGCUUCGGAAUCCAUACGAUUCAUGUUGCCAAAAUGAGAACAAACGAUAGCAAACGGAUGGUCAACUUGAGCGAACUUCGCAGGAAGAACCAGGCCGGGUUUACCGUUAUUUUCGAACUGUUUUCCUUAAUCCACGGCCACGAAUGUGUGAAGAAAGCAAUACUAUGAUUACGUUAGAGUGAAAUUACAAAAUAUUUGGCAAACGAAACAAAACUUGGAGGUGAUAUUAAUGUUCUGCUUCUUGGAGACCAUCGCCAAGUCUCAGCUGUUGCAUUACGUUUUGCACACAUUUAAGUGUUGGUUUGACUGCUACUGUUACUACCGAUCUGAAAAUUGCUGAAUGUCGAUUGGAAAAAUGCUGGCCAAGCGCAGUUCUGUAGUACGAGUGUACAAAACUUCGUUGGAGAAUGGAUAUGUGUUCCGAUGACAUCUGGUAUUUCUAGUAUUUCAGCAACCGCGUCGCGACCAACCGGAACGAUGGAGACUGAAAGAGGUCGUCAAAUAAAACGUGUUUUGACUGCUCGCUUACACUAUCUUACAUUUAUACGGUUGACUAAGAACAUCGGUGCAAAUGGUGGAACAGGAACAUUCACUUAGGGAAAAGUAAAGGUUCCCAUCGUGCGGAUAACGGACGACGAUGAUCGUCGAAAAGAUAUUUGAUAGUUUUAAAUUAUUUUAUU
Long non-coding RNA from Topomyia yanbarensis, 808 nucleotides. RefSeq lists it as uncharacterized. The record is from RefSeq and is a predicted model, not a curated record. The transcript is spliced from 3 exons. NCBI's taxonomy places the organism in Eukaryota, Metazoa, Arthropoda, Insecta, Diptera, Culicidae.